RNAcentral lists this ribosomal RNA (253 nucleotides) under uncultured Rickettsia sp. RNAcentral describes it as "partial 16S ribosomal RNA". It matches the Rfam family "Bacterial small subunit ribosomal RNA", at positions 524 to 776 of the family's 1533-position model. Lineage: Bacteria; Pseudomonadati; Pseudomonadota; Alphaproteobacteria; Rickettsiales; Rickettsiaceae. The record is from RNAcentral.
GACGGAGGGGGCUAGCGUUGUUCGGAAUUACUGGGCGUAAAGCGCGCGUAGGCGGUAUAGUAAGUUGGAAGUGAAAUCCCGGGGCUUAACCUCGGAACUGCUUCCAAAACUAUUAUUCUAGAGUGUAGUAGGGGAUGAUGGAAUUCCUAGUGUAGUAGUGAAAUACGCAGAUAUUAGGAGGAACACCGGUGGCGAAGGCGGUCAUCUGGGCUACAACUGACGCUGAGGCGCGAAAGCAUGGGGAGCAAACAGG